Molecule: ribosomal RNA, 778 nt
Filed under: uncultured Neocallimastigales
Lineage: Eukaryota; Fungi; Neocallimastigomycota; Neocallimastigomycetes; Neocallimastigales
Description: partial large subunit ribosomal RNA
Rfam family: Eukaryotic large subunit ribosomal RNA
Source: RNAcentral
UUAUCUCUGUAGAGUCUGCAUAUCAAUAAGCGGAGGAAAAGAAACUAACUAGGAUUCCCUAAGUAACGGCGAGUGAAGCGGGAAGAGCUCAAAUUUGAAAUCUUCAAGGUUCUACCUUGACGAAUUGUAGUUUAAAGAAGUGUUUUCUGUUGGAGUUUUGGUAAAAGUUCUUUGGAAUAGGACAUCAUAGAGGGUGAGAAUCCCGUAUUUGACCAUUAUUUCCAACUUUGUGACACACUUUCAAAGAGUCGGAUUGUUUGGGAAUGCAGUCCAAAAUGGGUGGUAAAUUUCAUCUAAAGCUAAAUACUGGCGAGAGACCGAUAGCGAACAAGUACCGUGAGGGAAAGAUGAAGAGAACUUUGAAAAGAGAGUUAAACAGUACGUGAAAUUGUCAAAAGGGAAGCGUUUGACACCAGUGUUGUUUUCUCGAAAAUCAAUUAAAAAUAAAUUCGAUUUUGUGUUGUAUUGACCUUAAAAGCUUUCUUCACUUUUUUCAUGUUUAUUUUUAAUGCACUUUUCGUUUAACAAGUCAACAUCAGUUUCUUUUGUUGUAAAAAGGUCAUUGGAAGGUGGCUUUCUUUUCGGAGAAAGUGUUUAUAGCCUUUGACUCCUGCAAUCGGAGAGACUGAGGUCUGCAGCGUAGAUCCUUCGGGGUUAGAUACAUUUGUGCUAAGUUAUAGCCUUUCAUAGACAACUUGUUGACUAUGAUUCAGUCAUGUAGCUUACUCGCUUAUGUCAUUUUACCUACGCUUAGGAUGUUGAUCUCUCACAGUCGAGC